CAGCAGCCGCGGUAAUACGAAGGGUGCAAGCGUUAAUCGGAAUUACUGGGCGUAAAGCGUGCGUAGGCGGUGAGUUAAGUCUGCUGUGAAAUCCCCGGGCUCAACCUGGGAAUGGCAGUGGAUACUGGCUCGCUAGAGUGUGUCAGAGGAUGGUGGAAUUCCCGGUGUAGCGGUGAAAUGCGUAGAGAUCGGGAGGAACAUCUGUGGCGAAGGCGACUAUCUGGGCCAACACUGACACUGAGGCACGAAAGCGUGGGGAGCAAACAGGAUUAGAUACCCCAGUAGUCCCUGUCUCUUAUAC
Molecule: ribosomal RNA, 301 nt
Filed under: uncultured bacterium
Lineage: Bacteria
Description: partial 16S ribosomal RNA
Rfam family: Bacterial small subunit ribosomal RNA
Source: RNAcentral